Pelobates cultripes (western spadefoot toad) is the source of this 373-nucleotide non-coding RNA. NCBI's taxonomy places the organism in Eukaryota, Metazoa, Chordata, Amphibia, Anura, Pelobatidae. The record is from the annotation of a GenBank genome assembly.
UCGACAAUGGGCAACUAGUCUCCUUUGACCACCUAAAACAAAUAGCACAUCUAACUCCCACAGACUUUUUCAGGUACUUGCAAAUUAGGGACUAUGUACAACAACCUCAGGUACUGCAGGCUGCCAAGAGACCACAGACUUUCUUUGAGAGGAUGUGCCUGAAAGAAACGGCUUAAUAACUAACCUAUAUACACAUAUAAGUUCAGAAACAAAGGAAUGGGGUACGCUAGCCUACACAGAAGCCUGGGAAAAAGAUAUAGGGGAAGUACUAGAGGGAGUAGAGUGGAGAGAAAUUUGGGAAGCAAACACAUCACUAUCUAUAUGCGUAACCCUCCAAAAACAGGCGUAUAAAACAAUGUUUAGGUGGUACACC